RNAcentral lists this unclassified non-coding RNA (348 nucleotides) under soil metagenome. RNAcentral describes it as "partial contains 5.8S ribosomal RNA, internal transcribed spacer 2, and large subunit ribosomal RNA". The stretch from base 1 to 120 matches the Rfam family "5.8S ribosomal RNA", at positions 35 to 154 of the family's 154-position model. The record is from RNAcentral.
GAUGAAGAACGUAGUGAAAUGCGAUAAGUAAUGUGAAUUGCAGAAUUCAGUGAAUCAUCGAGUCUUUGAACGCACAUUGCGCCCCCUGGUAUUCCGGGGGGCAUGCCUGUCCGAGCGUCAUUGCUGCCCUCAAGCACGGCUUGUGUGUUGGGCCCCCGCCCCCCGGCUUCGGGGGGCGGGCCCGAAAGGCAGCGGCGGCACCGCGUCCGGUCCUCGAGCGUAUGGGGCUUCGUCACCCGCUCUGUAGGCCCGGCCGGCGCCCGCCGGCGACCCCAAUCAAUCUUUCCAGGUUGACCUCGGAUCAGGUAGGGAUACCCGCUGAACUUAAGCAUAUCAAUAAGCGGAGGA